This 674-nucleotide ribosomal RNA is filed under the name Escherichia coli. RNAcentral's name for it is "partial 23S ribosomal RNA". It matches the Rfam family "Bacterial large subunit ribosomal RNA", at positions 201 to 914 of the family's 2925-position model. The record is from RNAcentral. Lineage: Bacteria; Pseudomonadati; Pseudomonadota; Gammaproteobacteria; Enterobacterales; Enterobacteriaceae.
UCUAAGUACCCCGAGGAAAAGAAAUCAACCGAGAUUCCCCCAGUAGCGGCGAGCGAACGGGGAGCAGCCCAGAGCCUGAAUCAGUGUGUGUGUUAGUGGAAGCGUCUGGAAAGGCGCGCGAUACAGGGUGACAGCCCCGUACACAAAAAUGCACAUACUGUGAGCUCGAUGAGUAGGGCGGGACACGUGGUAUCCUGUCUGAAUAUGGGGGGACCAUCCUCCAAGGCUAAAUACUCCUGACUGACCGAUAGUGAACCAGUACCGUGAGGGAAAGGCGAAAAGAACCCCGGCGAGGGGAGUGAAAAAGAACCUGAAACCGUGUACGUACAAGCAGUGGGAGCACAGAGCAAUCUGUGUGACUGCGUACCUUUUGUAUAAUGGGUCAGCGACUUAUAUUCUGUAGCAAGGUUAACCGAAUAGGGGAGCCGAAGGGAAACCGAGUCUUAACUGGGCGUUAAGUUGCAGGGUAUAGACCCGAAACCCGGUGAUCUAGCCAUGGGCAGGUUGAAGGUUGGGUAACACUAACUGGAGGACCGAACCGACUAAUGUUGAAAAAUUAGCGGAUGACUUGUGGCUGGGGGUGAAAGGCCAAUCAAACCGGGAGAUAGCUGGUUCUCCCCGAAAGCUAUUUAGGUAGCGCCUCGUGAAUUCAUCUCCGGGGGUAGAGCACUGUU